RNAcentral lists this ribosomal RNA (253 nucleotides) under uncultured bacterium. RNAcentral's name for it is "partial 16S ribosomal RNA". It matches the Rfam family "Bacterial small subunit ribosomal RNA", at positions 524 to 776 of the family's 1533-position model. The record is from RNAcentral.
UACAGAGGGGGCAAGCGUUAUUCGGAAUUACUGGGCGUAAAGGGCUCGUAGGUGGCCAACUAAGUCAGACGUGAAAUCCCUCGGCUUAACCGGGGAACUGCGUCUGAUACUGGAUGGCUUGAGUUUGGGAGAGGGACGCGGAAUUCCAGGUGUAGCGGUGAAAUGCGUAGAUAUCUGGAGGAACACCGGUGGCGAAGGCGGCGUCCUGGACCAACACUGACACUGAGGAGCGAAAGCCAGGGGAGCAAACGGG